GUCCACGCCCUAAACGAUGUCUACUAGUUGUCGGGUCUUAAUUGACUUGGUAACGCAGCUAACGCGUGAAGUAGACCGCCUGGGGAGUACGGUCGCAAGAUUAAAACUCAAAGGAAUUGACGGGACCCGCACAAGCGGUGGAUGAUGUGGAUUAAUUCGAUGCAACGCGAAAACCUUACCUACCCUUGACAUGGAAGGAAUCCCCGAGAGAUUGGGGAGUGCUCGAAAGAGAACCUUUACACAGGUGCUGCAUGGCUGUCGU
This 262-nucleotide ribosomal RNA is filed under the name uncultured bacterium. Its description in RNAcentral is "partial 16S ribosomal RNA". It matches the Rfam family "Bacterial small subunit ribosomal RNA", at positions 793 to 1055 of the family's 1533-position model. The record is from RNAcentral.